CCUACGGGGGGCUGCAGUGGGGAAUAUUGCACAAUGGGGGAAACCCUGAUGCAGCGACGCCGCGUGAGUGAAGAAGUAUUUCGGUACGUAAAGCUCUAUCAGCAGGGAAGAAAAUGACGGUACCUGACUAAGAAGCCCCGGCUAACUACGUGCCAGCAGCCGCGGUAAUACGUAGGGGGCAAGCGUUAUCCGGAUUUACUGGGUGUAAAGGGAGCGUAGACGGCAGCGCAAGUCUGGAGUGAAAUCCCAUGGCUUAACCAUGGAACUGCUUUGGAAACUGUGCAGCUAGAGUGCAGGAGAGGUAAGCGGAAUUCCUAGUGUAGCGGUGAAAUGCGUAGAUAUUAGGAGGAACACCAGUGGCGAAGGCGGCUUACUGGACUGUAACUGACGUUGAGGCUCGAAAGCGUGGGGAGCAAACAGGAGUAGAUACCCCGGUAGUC
This 440-nucleotide ribosomal RNA is filed under the name uncultured bacterium. RNAcentral's name for it is "partial 16S ribosomal RNA". It matches the Rfam family "Bacterial small subunit ribosomal RNA", at positions 338 to 795 of the family's 1533-position model. The record is from RNAcentral.